RNAcentral lists this ribosomal RNA (456 nucleotides) under Triticum aestivum (bread wheat). RNAcentral describes it as "partial small subunit ribosomal RNA". The record is from RNAcentral. Lineage: Eukaryota; Viridiplantae; Streptophyta; Magnoliopsida; Poales; Poaceae.
AUGCGCGCCGAUCAGAUAGUACCGGCGGUCGUCGCCGCCGUGGCCGUGGUGUGCCUGCUCAUCGCCGGCCGCGCGGACGGCCAGGACGAGUACGUCCCUGCUGGCGCGGCGAGCCAGGAGGUGGAGACGCUGGCCACGAACCAGAACCCCAGACAGAUCCUCCCGCAGCCGGAGUUGAUGCCAGUGCCCAACAAUCUGCUCCCUAGGCCGGGGGCCGCCCUAUCCGGGCAGCAGCCGACGACCGAGCAGGAGCCAGAGACGGAGGCGGAGCCGCAGCCGGAGCAGACAAUCACGAGGGAACCGGAGCCGGUCACGCCCACGCAGGACCAGGGCGAUUUCUACCGCACCGGCGCGACGCCGACCACGCCAGAGCCGCCGGCGACGCCAACCUCGCCGGAGACGUGGGAGACGCCGCGGGCGACGCCGUCUGUGCCCGUGCAGCAGGGUUAUCCUUAG